This is a non-coding RNA of Clostridiales bacterium Nov_37_41, 231 nucleotides long. NCBI's taxonomy places the organism in Bacteria, Bacillati, Bacillota, Clostridia, Eubacteriales. The record is from Rfam.
UUAAAGGCAUUGAUGGUGCACAGUAAGAAACCAAGUGUUUCCGAAUUUCACACCGUAGCUGUAUCUCUGAAUGCGAUGCAACAAUCAUUUUCAUAUCAUGUAUCAGUAGGAGAUAACGGAGUCUGCCCGUUACGCAGAGACUUAAGUGCUUAUGGUAAUUAAGAAGAAGUUUAACGAUACCAUAGGAAUUAGGGUGGUACCGCGAGUAUAUAUUAAGAACUCGUCCCUUUG